Molecule: long non-coding RNA, 233 nt
Filed under: Ananas comosus (pineapple)
Lineage: Eukaryota; Viridiplantae; Streptophyta; Magnoliopsida; Poales; Bromeliaceae
Description: long non-coding RNA (ACOM_LNC006131)
Source: RNAcentral
UUAACUAACUAAAAGAGACGAGUAAAUCGAUCGAGGGCCUCGAGGAAUUAUUUUUUUUUGAAAGAUAGGUAGCACGCUACCUGUUUCGUUUACUUCAUUUAGAAAUAAACUUAGCUGGAAAUGUGAAUUAACUAGGAUUCGAACUUGGGUCUCGGAUACCAACCAUCAAACCCUUUGCCACUUGCUUUAGGGACUGUCGGUGGCCUCGAGGAAUUAUUAGACGACACAUUAGG